CCGAGUCUAACAACUCAUCAACCCUGUGAACAUACCUAAACGUUGCUUCGGCGGGAACAGACGGCCCGUGUUACAGGGCCGCCCCCGCCAGAGGACCCCCUAACUCUGUAUCUGUUAUGUUUUUUCUGAGUAAACAAGCAAAUAAAUUA
RNAcentral lists this unclassified non-coding RNA (149 nucleotides) under uncultured Nectria. Its description in RNAcentral is "sequence contains ITS1". Lineage: Eukaryota; Fungi; Ascomycota; Sordariomycetes; Hypocreales; Nectriaceae. The record is from RNAcentral.